RNAcentral lists this ribosomal RNA (457 nucleotides) under uncultured bacterium. RNAcentral's name for it is "bacterial SSU rRNA". It matches the Rfam family "Bacterial small subunit ribosomal RNA", at positions 30 to 507 of the family's 1533-position model. The record is from RNAcentral.
AUUGAACGCUGGCGGAAUGCUUUACACAUGCAAGUCGAACGGUAGAGGGGGCAACCCCUUGAGAGUGGCGAACGGGUGAGUAAUAUAUCGGAACGUGCCCAGUCGUGGGGGAUAACGUAGCGAAAGUUACGCUAAUACCGCAUACGAUCUAAGGAUGAAAGCGGGGGACCUGUAAGGGCCUCGCGCGAUUGGAGCGGCCGAUAUCAGAUUAGGUAGUUGGUGGGGUAAAGGCUCACCAAGCCAACGAUCUGUAGCUGGUCUGAGGGGACGACCAGCCACACUGGAACUGAGACACGGCCCAGACUCCUACGGGAGGCAGCAGUGGGGAAUAUUGGACAAUGGGGGAAACCCUGAUCCAGCAAUGCCGCGUGAGUGAUGAAGGCCUUAGGGUCGUAAAGCUCUUUUACCAGGGAUGAUAAUGACAGUACCUGGAGAAUAAGCUCCGGCUAACUCCGUG